Molecule: ribosomal RNA, 254 nt
Filed under: Clostridioides difficile
Lineage: Bacteria; Bacillati; Bacillota; Clostridia; Peptostreptococcales; Peptostreptococcaceae
Description: partial 23S ribosomal RNA
Rfam family: Bacterial large subunit ribosomal RNA
Source: RNAcentral
AGUCCACAGCGACGGAAGGUUUGGCACCUCGAUGUCGGCUCAUCACGUCCUGGGGCUGUAGUAGGUCCCAAGGGUUGGGCUGUUCGCCCAUUAAAGUGGUACGCGAGCUGGGUUCAGAACGUCGUGGGACAGUUCGGUCCCUAUCCGUCGCAGGCGUAGGAAAUUUGAGAAGGCCUGUCCUUAGUACGAGAGGGCCGGGAUGGACGUACCUCUGGUGUACCAGUUGUCCUGCCAAGGGCAUGGCUGGGUAGCUA